This is a long non-coding RNA of Eriocheir sinensis (Chinese mitten crab), 3106 nucleotides long. RefSeq lists it as uncharacterized. The record is from RefSeq and is a predicted model, not a curated record. NCBI's taxonomy places the organism in Eukaryota, Metazoa, Arthropoda, Malacostraca, Decapoda, Varunidae. The transcript has 10 exons.
CGCCCGGACUCCAUCGCUCCGGCACGCCCACUCCCGCCCCACGCCCAUGGCCACGCACUCAUUACCACUAUAGGUAAGAUAUAGGUCUACCUCACUCUGGUGUAAUGAUAGGAGAUUAAAAAGAUACAUCACCGAUAACCAAUCAAGACCAUUCCCUAACACGCACGAGUAAGGACUGUGUUUGAAGCAAGAAGCAAGCUACUCAUGUUACAGAGAGCCAGAUACAGAAACAUUCAGGUCUGGCAAAGUAAACAGACCGGCGGAGAAAUAUAAUGACAUGCGUGAAAUUUUAAUCUACAUUUUUCCCCCUUCCAUACGAGCGGGAGAGGAAGGGAGUCCGAGAGGUGACGCGCGCGGGAGCCGGUGUGUGACGUGGGUCGGGCACGGCGUGAGAGCGGGCACAUGCAGAUGAGGCUCCUGGGCAGAGAGGGUUAGGCAGGAGUGCCCCGCCUGGCCCUAGUCUGCCUUACGUCUCUACCCUGGUAGCACGCGCACCAUGCCCUGCCGCCGCGAGUGUAUCCUCCUGACGUGCCCUGCGGAAGUGUUCGGUGCCGGCGGGAGAGUGUUGUCGGCUAUGACCCCACGUGAGCCCCGAUGCGCAGGCUUUACUCCACCAGGCACACAGUGGUGGUGGACGUACCCAAGUGCUGAGCCAAUGCCUGGGAGAGAAAGUUGAUGUGUCUGUGUGAUGUAAGCCUCCGGAAGUGACGUCACGGUAUCUAAGAAGCCCCAAGAAGCUUACCUCCCUCGUCCCCUCCCCGCCGCCGGAUAUCUCACGCACGCCCUUGGAAACGCGCUCCCAAAAUUUCCAGUCGACACCGCUAUCGAGGUGGAAAGAUAUAAGUGUGGCGUGUGAGGACUUAUUGAGUGAUGCGUCGAACUUAUAAACUCGAAAACCUGACAGUGCUGAAAGGUGAGAACUACAAGGAAAGAGAAAAAAGUCCAACACGCUUAGAUAAAAGGGAGAAGUGGAAGAGUGGCCGAAAAGGGGAAAGAGAAAGAAGGAGAGGUGAGAGAUAAAUGCGGAGACGGAGGAAGAGGGAGGCGAGGAUUCGGAAUAGAAGUUAUGUCGAGCGGCGACGUGGAAACAGCCCGACGGAGUAAGAAGAUUUGGCGAGCAAGACCCUUGCUUGGCCCUCGCUCCCUCUCCGCGCUGGCACCCGCUGUGGAGGGCUGCGGUGGGUGGGUGGUGGGUAGUGCCGCCCCUUAGUACUCAGCCAGGCACACGGAGGAGCUUUGGAAGACGACGAAGCGGUGUGAAGGCAACAUAAGGCCAAGCUCUCAACUCUAGAGACAACGUUGACUCGUGUCUUGAUGCCAACACGUCGGCCACACGGGUGUCGUAUCGUCUUGCAUGACAGCGUGGCCAGAAAACAGCUCAACACAUCAUCAGGAAGCUAAGGAGACAGCUCAAGGGCGCAAAUAAAAAAAUAAAAAAAAGGCCCGCUACUCACUGCUCCCGAACAGAGGUUAAAGGAGUGUCCAAAAUCAGAGGAGCCGAGCGAGAGGGGCGUAACACGAGAGACCGGCACCCCUCGACUCCGACCCUCGGCCCGCGGAACCCAAGGGCGGAGAGCCUCGCCCGCCCCGCCUCCCCGCACUGCCCGUUGACGGUGCAUCGGCAGCGCACGGAGUGUCGCUGGGCCCUGAGCGGGGGGGAAGUCGCUAUUGAGAUCCCGUGGCCGGAGGGGCAAUGCAGGCGACGAUGAGGGGAGCCGUAAGGGCGGACGUGAUCAAGGAAGGGGUGACGGCCGCCCUGGGCGGAGUGAAGGAGUUGUAACGACCUCGACCGGACCCUCAGGGGAAAAGCGGCACCAGUCAUCAACAGGAGGUUCUUGGCAGUCAAAAUCAGCUGGUAUCUGGACGAACAUGUGAGGAAGUAACAAGAAGAGAGCGAAAUUAGCGAGAGAUCGAAAGACAUUUUUCAAGAAACGAUGAAAUAAUUGAUCAAUCACCUAUGAAGAAUGAAGUAUGAAGAAGCCGUCUUCUCCCCCACAUAGCACUGUUCCCAGGUAGACAUACACUGCGCCACGACCUGCAGCGAGAGAAUGAUGACGAUGAACUUGACGCCACACCACACUCAUCCAUAUCACCGCUCUUCUCCAAGUAACAGGUCAGUAUUUGUCUUUGGCGGUGCCAGACCACCAUAACGGAAGGCAAGACAACCCCUGACACCUGGUACCAAUUCACGGCUGGCCGGACGAGGGAACAGGUGAAGUAAGACUGCCCAUACGUCUCCACUCUGCCAAAGGAAUUCAACCCGGGAUCUCUCAGUUGUGAGGCUACUCUAACCUACUCCACAAAGUCACCUCUGUGACUUGCUGAUCAAUUCAGUGGUGCUGAUGAUGGCGACACCCACGGGGUCAAAGGAAGACUCGAUGACAACCAACAUUACCAAACCUCACGACGGAAGACCUUCACGCCAGCGGCAGUAUUCUAAGUUUACAGCCAAAUGAAAGUUCUGCGAAGGGCGGAUUCUUAGAGCUGCCGCUGUCCUCUUCACUUUUCUACUAGAGCGGUGUGUACCAUUGUAAGAGCAAUAAAAUGACUUUGGAAGUGGGCAGAUACAACUGUGGUGAACUUCCUCCAUAUGAAGCCCAUGACUAAAAAAUAAGGAAUAUGCAAAUAUAGACAUGACAACCAUAUUUUGUAAUUAGGUAGCUAAGUAUCCUAUACAAUCCAAAAUAAAAGCACUGUAACCUAAUUAUGACGUGUGGAACUAUUUUAACCCAUUUAUUUCCCAUGAGCAGCCCAUAGCACUGGUAGACUUUCUUGGGGGGCUGCGGAGGUCAGUUCCAGCCCGUUAGUGGUGAGGGCGAAUUUUAUUUAGAGUGUUUGCUGUGAUGUGACUCUUGUUUGGCCCAUACUGCCCCCCAGUGCUUCUCUAACCGAAAUGGCUGAAUUUACAGUUGACUGUCAGACAUUCGAAUAGCAUGUGGAUAAUCCUCGGCCAUUAAACUGUGGCUGAAAAUUGUCACUGGUUGCAUCAGGACUUGAACCCAGGCCUGCGGAAUCUAUGCCCAUUUGUUCAUCAUUCUACCUAUGCUUAAAUCCAACUUGAAGAGGGAUUUAAAAGGCACCGCAGAGGCAGAUGAUAAUGGCACUG